AAGUUGGAUUAGUGGUAAAGCAUUGGACUGAUGUUCCGGUGGACAUGGGUUCGAUCCCCAAACAAGUUA
RNAcentral lists this transfer RNA (69 nucleotides) under Daphnia magna. It matches the Rfam family "tRNA". Rfam says of the family: Transfer RNA (tRNA) molecules are approximately 80 nucleotides in length. Their secondary structure includes four short double-helical elements and three loops (D, anti-codon, and T loops). Lineage: Eukaryota; Metazoa; Arthropoda; Branchiopoda; Diplostraca; Daphniidae. The record is from Rfam by way of RNAcentral.